RNAcentral lists this small RNA (612 nucleotides) under chicken gut metagenome. The record is from RNAcentral.
AAUAUUAAACAGAUGGUGCAUUAUUCUAGUCAUACCAAAGUUUAUGAGGGUGGGGCUAAAAAUCCACUAAAAGGCACAUCGUUGAAGUUUCUUAGGAUUGCGCGAAAUGCCAGUUUUGUGUGGUCUUAGGGAGUAAAGAGAUUAGGGUAAUAUGUAAUGGCAUACAUGUGACUCCCUAUUUUCGCGGAGACUUAAAUUAAAGUAAUUUUAACUUUUUACAGAAAUUUAAGUGUAACCUAUGUUGAGUGCCAAGACACAAAAUGCAUAGUGUAGCCUGUUUUGAGUGAAUGUAUCGGGAUUAACUUAUAUGAGUAAAAUAUAAUUUGGCCAAUUUGUGUUUUACUUUUGUUAUGAAAUUUCAUUUGCAAAAGAAACUAAUAAACUUUUUAAAGGUAUGUCAAGGAAAACUUCUAGAAUGUUUGCUUAAAAUCUGUAAGCAUAGAAGUCUAGGGAUUAAGGUGCAGAUUUAAGUGGCGAUCUGGUGUCUAUUUUGUAUUAAAUAGAUUUUUCCCUUAAACGGAAACGGUUCUAGCAGUAAUGCUAAGCGGGAAAUAGAGAAAUUCAACCAGACCUAAACUGUAAAAUUUACUUAGACUUUGACCAUCAAAAUUG